GACGAACGCUGGCGGCGCGCCUAACACAUGCAAGUCGAACGGGAUCUUUUAGGAGUGCUUGCACUCUUGGCUGAUCUAGUGGCGGACGGGUGAGUAACACGUGAGCAACCUGCCCUGGAGUGGGGGAUAACGUCUGGAAACGGACGCUAAUACCGCAUAACGUGCUCGGAUGGCAUCAUCUGGGUACCAAAGGAGAAAUCCGCUUUGGGAUGGGCUCGCGCCCGAUUAGAUAGUUGGUGAGGUAAUGGCUCACCAAGUCUGCGAUCGGUAGCCGGACUGAGAGGUUGAACGGCCACAUUGGGACUGAGACACGGCCCAGACUCCUACGGGAGGCAGCAGUGGGGGAUAUUGCACAAUGGGGGAAACCCUGAUGCAGCGACGCCGCGUGGGUGAAGACGGCCUUCGGGUUGUAAAGCCCUGUUGUGGGGGACGAAACAAAUGACGGUACCCCACCAGAAAGCCACGGCUAACUACGUGCCAGCCGCCGCCGUAAAAC
This 496-nucleotide ribosomal RNA is filed under the name uncultured bacterium. Its description in RNAcentral is "bacterial SSU rRNA". It matches the Rfam family "Bacterial small subunit ribosomal RNA", at positions 28 to 526 of the family's 1533-position model. The record is from RNAcentral.